This is a long non-coding RNA of Oncorhynchus kisutch (coho salmon), 1836 nucleotides long. The record is from Ensembl. Lineage: Eukaryota; Metazoa; Chordata; Actinopteri; Salmoniformes; Salmonidae.
AUGUUCCUGAUCCUCUGUGUCCCGCUGGUCUCUGUGUCCCACUGGUCUCUGUGUCCCACUGGUCUCUGUGUCUCGCUGGUCUCUGUGUCUCGCUGGUUUCUGUGUCCCGCUGGUCUCUGUGCCCCGCUGGUCUCUGUGUCUCGCUGGUCUCUGUGUCCCGCUGGUCUCUGUGUCUCGCUGGUCUCUGUGUCCCGCUGGUCUCUGUGUUCUGCUGGUCUCUGUGUCUCGCUGGUCUCUGUGUUCUGCUGGUCUCUGUGUCUCACUGGUCUCUGUGUCCCGCUGGUCUCUGUGCCCCGCUGGUCUCUGUGUUCUGCUGGUCUCUGUGUCCCGCUGGUCUCUGUGUCUCACUGGUCUCUGUGUCUCGCUGGUCUCUGUGUCUCGCUGGUCUCUGUGUCCUGUUGGUCUCUGUGUCUCGCUGGUCUCUGUGUCUCGCUGGUCUCUGUGCCCCGCUGGUCUCUGUGUCCCAUUGGUCUCUGUGUCUCGCUGGUCUCUGUGUCUCGCUGGUCUCUGUGUCCCGCUGGUCUCUGUGCCCUGCUGGUCUCUGUGUCUCACUGGUCUCUGUGUCUCGCUGGUCUCUGUACCCCGCUGGUCUCUGUGUCCCGCUGGUCUCUGUCUCUCGCUGGUCUCUGUGUCCCAUUGGUCUCUGUGUCUCGCUGGUCUCUGUGUCUCGCUGGUCUCUCUGGCCCGCUGGUCUCUGUGUCCUGCUGGUCUCUGUGUCUCUGUGUCACGCUGGUGUCUCUGUCCCACUGGUCUCUGUGUCCCGCUGGUCUAUGUGUCCUGCUGGUCUCUGUGUCCUGCUGGUCUCUGUGUCUCGCUGGUCUCUGUGUCUCGCUGGUCUCUGUGUCUCGCUGGUCUCUAUGUCCCGUUGUUCUCUGUGUCCCGCUGGUCUCUGUGUCUCGCUGGUCUCUGUGCCCCGCUGGUCUCUGUGCCCCGCUGGUCUCUGUGCCCCGCUGGUCUCUGUGUCCCGUUGGUCUCUGUGUCCCGCUGGUCUCUGUGUCCCGCUGGUCUCUGUGUCUCGCUGGUCUCUGUGUCUCGCUGGUCUCUGUGUCCCGCUGGUCUCUGUGCCCCGCUGGUCUCUGUGUUCUGCUGGUCUCUGUGUCCCGUUGGUCUCUGUGUCUCGCUGGUCUCUGUGUCCCGCUGGUCUCUGUGCCCCGCUGGUCUCUGUGUCCCGUUGGUCUCUGUGUCUCGCUGGUCUCUGUACCCCGCUGGUCUCUGUGUCUCGUUGGUCUCUGUGUCUCGCUGGUCUCUGUGCCCCGCUGGUCUCUGUGUCCCGUUGGUCUCUGUGUCUCGCUGGUCUCUGUGUCUCGCUGGUCUCUGUGUCUCGCUGGUCUCUGUGUCCCACUGGUCUCUGUGUCCCAUUGGUCUCUGUGUCUCGCUGGUCUGUGUCUCGCUGGUCUCUGUGCCCUGCUGGUCUCUGUGUCUCGCUGGUCUCUGUGUCUCGCUGGUCUCUGUGUCUCGCUGGUCUCUGUGUCCCGCUGGUCUCUGUGCCCCGCUGGUCUCUGUGUUCUGCUGGUCUCUGUGUCCCGUUGGUCUCUGUGUCUCGCUGGUCUCUGUGUCCCGCUGGUCUCUGUGCCCCGCUGGUCUCUGUGUCCCGUUGGUCUCUGUGUCUCGCUGGUCUCUGUACCCCGCUGGUCUCUGUGUCCCGUUGGUCUCUGUGUCUCGCUGGUCUCUGUGUCCCGCUGGUCUCUGUGCCCCGCUGGUCUCUGUGUCCCGUUGGUCUCUGUGUCUCGCUGGUCUCUGUGCCCUGCUGGUCUCUGUGUCUCGCUGGUCUCUGUGUCUCGCUGGUCUCUGUGUCUCGCUGGUCUCUGUACCCCGCUGGUCUCUGUGUCCCGUUAG